CAGGGCCCUGUGCCGGAGGUGGCUGUUAGAGCCUGGGAUCCUCCUGGUCACACUGGAAGGAGCCACCCAGAGGCCCUAAGGCUGGGUUGCUGGGAGACAAGGAGCUACAAUCUGUGGAGAGGGGCCAGGGAGGAGGUCUUCUGUGUCCCUCCUCCUUCUCACGAUGAUGCUACAGUGUGCUUGUGGUGACCCGCAGGGAGCUGAUGGGCUGGCUCCUGGGCAAUGGACACUGAAUGCAGCACUGCAGUGUUGCAACCGCGGAUCUGAUAACCCAGCUGGCUGCUAAGUGGCUCCGCAGCCUCAGUCCGCAGACCGCAGGACUCCGUGGUCCUCCUAGAGCUGUUUUUACCACCUUUGCCCACCAGAGGGCGCGCUGCGACCCGCAAACGCGCCGGGCCUGCUCCCGGAACUGGUCAAUGGCCCCGUCACCCGUAGAAACCACCUCCCUACGUCUCUAAGCCCCAGAGGGUCCUGGUUUCUGUCCCUCCUCUGGGAUUCACAGCUUUUCAGCUAGCAAACCGCCACGUUGCCAUGGCAACUGCCGCUUCCCCUGUCUCUUCCUCCUUAGCCAGUUCUCCCGGCUAAUUUCAGAAUUGCUCUCCUGCGCGCGCGGGGCUCCUGCACGGCCCCUCGCCCCAGCCCUGCUUGUGGUGGCUCCUGAAAGAUUCCAGGACAGCAGGCGUGGCGGCGCAGGCCUGUAACCCCAGCAAUCAGGAGGCUGAGGCAAGAGGAGCGCUGUGAGCUCGAGGCCAGCCUGAACUACAUAGUGAGACUCUGUCUCAAAACAAAGAAAUAACAAAAUUUCAAGACGACUCCAUGGCCCCGCGUGCCCCGCAGCAGGAGAGAGCGGGGAGGUAAGGGUGGUACCCAGACAGGAGCCCAUGAGCCCUCUGUCAGCCCGGGUGCUCCUGUCAGUCGUCAGAGGUCCCUGCAGGCUGCCAGCCCCCGACCCACCCUCCACCUCCCUCUCUUCUGGGAAACCCUCCUUUUCCUGCUUGCUCCACCAGGAUUCCAGGUACGAAAGCUCGGCCGUCCACACAUUUUAAUGGAUGUGCUCAUAAUGAGUGUGUUUCAAUGCGACGUUUUAAAAAAUUGAAUGUCUGCAAA
Long non-coding RNA from Heterocephalus glaber (naked mole-rat), 1107 nucleotides. RefSeq lists it as uncharacterized. The record is from RefSeq and is a predicted model, not a curated record. NCBI's taxonomy places the organism in Eukaryota, Metazoa, Chordata, Mammalia, Rodentia, Bathyergidae.